AAAAUAUACUAACAGGAGACCCGACAAGAAUGCUGAUCCAAUGUCUCCAAACACAGUGGUGAAAUAUUUAAGAUAAGUGCCAAGUUAGCAGCCAACACUGAUCUAAUGUCAUAAGUGAACACACCACAAACACAAAGUAAAAAAAAUGUACACAUUAUUUACAAUGACUGUACUUACAACACACCCUCUACACAAGAUUGUGCUGCUGGUCCCAAGUCCCUUUCAGCUGUAAAUCACUUACCAUCCUCUACUUGUAGGCUGGGUGUGUAUUCACACCUCUAGAUGGCCGGGCGGGGGUUUGUUGUGGAGCCAGAGAGAGCAGCAGUCACUCUAAGUGAGGGAUGGAGGACUUGAAGCAAUUCAGUACAAAUUCUUAUUUACAAUGAUGCCAAACCCGGACAACGCUGGGCCAAUUGUGCGCCUCUCUAUGGGACUCCCAAUCACGGCCAGAUGUGAUGCAGCCUGGAUUCGAAUCAGACCCAGACAGCCCAGGAAAGUUGAGGGAGGGAGAGAGACUGUCUGGUUGCACACUGUUCCUGAAUGAAGAUGGGUGCUCUCCAGUGAAUUUAGACUUCCUUGUCAUAGAACAGACCUCAUAGAAUGGACCUCACAAAUUCACAACCAGACCUCACCAGUCAGGCCCCGCAAACCAGACUGAACAAAACUAUUACUGGACAUUACAAUCUAGACCUCAUUAUCUGGAUUUCACAAUCCUUACUUCUUCAUCUGGAUUUUGCAAUCCAGAUUUCACAGCUUGGUCUUUGUAAACCAAACCUCACAAUCCAUAACCUGGACCUCACAACCUGGACCUGCAGUGUUGAUGCUGUAACCCAGCCUCAACGCACCACUUCCUCAGGCAACAAAGCGGCAAACCUGCCCAGUCUCACCUGAGGACUGCCCAGUCUCAAACCUGCCCAGUCCUCCACGUCAUAUUUCAUUUUUUUUCACUUAUUGGCUUUUUGUUGCUUUUGUUUCUUGUUACGGUCAUUUACAUUUAUUUACAUUUUGGCCAGUUUGGCUUCCAGGCCAGUGUCCCCACCACACAACUCUGAUGCUUCCACAGCAUCAUACCAUGCCUCCAAAUGGCUACAGUAGUCACUAGUGUUACUUGAACUUUGUCUUCUGUUACAUGCUACUGGGUCCUUCCAUGUCCCUGUCCGCAACAAAUUGUGCUUCAUUCUAGUAGUUUGUAAAUAGGUUCUCUAGAGGAUCCUCUUAAAUAAUGUGGUACAUGAUAUAUAGACACACAAUGCCAAUAGUGUUGUGUCAUCUAUACAUCCAGUCAGGCAGGAAUAGUCCCAUAUCUGAGCUGUUGGUACUAAUACUGACACGGUAUAACUGUCUAGCUGUAACCCGUAAUGGCUUUCACAGAUCUAAUGGCAGAGCAACUCUAUGUUGCUGUGGAUUUCUAACAUUUCUAUUUUGUAACAACGGAAAGUUGUCACUGGUACAGCAUUGUUACCAAGUAUGUGGUUGGAGCAUAUCAUAUCAACUCUUAGGGCUACAUUGUAACAGUCUCUUCCGUAGAGGCACCUCUGUAAAGGCUUGGAAGCCAGUAAAGUUGCUUGCGACAUUUUCAUUUUAUUUUUGCAGAAAAACAUGGACUGUAAUAGGUUCACACAAAAAAAGGGCAUAUUUUCUGUCAUACUUGCUGCUGAUGACUUUGACAAACAAUCUCUGUAAAUUAUUGAAUAUAUAACGUCAAUUGUUUGUUUUAAAAGUCAAGAUUAUUUAACAUGGUUUAUAUUGGUACUUUUUUGCUUUUUGAACUGAAACAUGUCCAAUAUUUUUGUAUUCCUUAUUAAUGGGAAAUCUGCUUCUUACAUAUAAUCCUAUAUAUUCCUGUCCACCUCAUGGGUUUUUGCUCUUUUGUUGAACAUUUUGAAUGUUGUUAAGUGGAUUCUAGGUACUACCCAUGUUAAACAAGAACCCCACUCCUCCAAACACGCACCAGCACCAUCCCAAUGGGCCUGUUCCUGAGAGCGUUAUACUCCUGUUUCUCUGUAACACUAUAGGCUACAGCUGUGUUGCUCUGUAAUUCUGUAGGCUGCAAUUGUGUAUUUUUCUAACUGGAUUGGCUGCAGUUGGGUCUAUCUGUAAUCUAAUAGGUUGUGUUCCCUGCGGCCACCAAACUUCACCUGAAUGCUACUUACGUGCAUGGGCAUAUUCAGUACUGUGUAGUUCCGAAACACAAUGUAGAAAACAAAUUGUGCUCUAUUCCUCAUAAUGGGGAACAGCAAGACGAGAUGAAGCUCAAACCUCUCCACCAACCCUGUCUUCCACUGUAAAUAAUGUGUUGUAAGACAACAGAUGAUAGAAAUAAUAAAUGGAUGGGUUGGAACGACUGAAUAGGACGUCAAUGUGAACAACAUUUAUGAGUGAAUGUUAUAUAAGAACUAUCAACUGAACAAUUGAAGAAUUAAUUAAUUAAUAAACGGAUGAAUGGAUGUACAAAUUAGCGGAUGAGUAAAUAAACGCAUUAAAG
RNAcentral lists this long non-coding RNA (2485 nucleotides) under Salmo salar (Atlantic salmon). Its description in RNAcentral is "lncRNA (ENSSSAG00000114552.1)". The record is from RNAcentral. Lineage: Eukaryota; Metazoa; Chordata; Actinopteri; Salmoniformes; Salmonidae.